UGGUGGGUAGUUUGACUGGGGCGGUCUCCUCCUAAAGAGUAACGGAGGAGCACGAAGGUUGGCUAAUCCUGGUCGGACAUCAGGAGGUUAGUGCAAUGGCAUAAGCCAGCUUGACUGCGAGCGUGACGGCGCGAGCAGGUGCGAAAGCAGGUCAUAGUGAUCCGGUGGUUCUGAAUGGAAGGGCCAUCGCUCAACGGAUAAAAGGUACUCCGGGGAUAACAGGCUGAUACCGCCCAAGAGUUCAUAUCGACGGCGGUGUUUGGCACCUCGAUGUCGGCUCAUCACAUCCUGGGGCUGAAGUAGGUCCCAAGGGUAUGGCUGUUCGCCAUUUAAAGUGGUACGCGAGCUGGGUUUAGAACGUCGUGAGACAGUUCGGUCCCUAUCUGCCGUGGGCGCUGGAGAACUGAGGGGGGCUGCUCCUAGUACGAGAGGACCGGAGUGGACGCAUCACUGGUGUUCGGGUUGUCAUGCCAAUGGCACUGCCCGGUAGCUAAAUGCGGAAGAGAUAAGUGCUGAAAGCAUCUAAGCACGAAACUUGCCCCGAGAUGAGUUCUCCCUGAGACUUAGAGUCUCCUGAAGGAACGUUGAAGACGACGACGUUGAUAGGCCGGGUGUGUAAGCGCAGCGAUGCGUUGAGCUAACCGGUACUAAUGAAC
RNAcentral lists this ribosomal RNA (656 nucleotides) under Salmonella enterica. Its description in RNAcentral is "partial 23S ribosomal RNA". It matches the Rfam family "Bacterial large subunit ribosomal RNA", at positions 2259 to 2909 of the family's 2925-position model. Lineage: Bacteria; Pseudomonadati; Pseudomonadota; Gammaproteobacteria; Enterobacterales; Enterobacteriaceae. The record is from RNAcentral. RNAcentral also lists the same sequence under 3 other names.